This 75-nucleotide transfer RNA is filed under the name Phaeodactylibacter sp. RNAcentral describes it as "tRNA-Pro". It matches the Rfam family "tRNA". From Rfam's summary of the family: Transfer RNA (tRNA) molecules are approximately 80 nucleotides in length. Lineage: Bacteria; Pseudomonadati; Bacteroidota; Saprospiria; Saprospirales; Haliscomenobacteraceae. The record is from RNAcentral. RNAcentral also lists the same sequence under 1 other name.
CGGGGCAUAGCGCAGCCCGGUUAGCGCGCCUGCUUUGGGAGCAGGAGGCCGCAGGUUCGAAUCCUGCUGCCCCGA